AGGGCGUUUUGGUACAUGACU
Molecule: microRNA, 21 nt
Filed under: Lotus japonicus
Lineage: Eukaryota; Viridiplantae; Streptophyta; Magnoliopsida; Fabales; Fabaceae
Description: lja-miR7525
Source: miRBase by way of RNAcentral